CUUGGCUGUUCUCCUGACACUUAAGUCAGAGCAUUCUGUAGCUGUAUUUUACAGAACUGUAAUUGCACAGAUUGUUCCUCUUACAAGAGAAAUAUCCAGAGCUCUAAGAAAACAACUGAUGAAAACGUAAGAAGCAAGAAAAUCCACCAUAAGCUCUGAGGAACAAUCACACCAGACUGAGCAUUUUUAUUUCUUGAGCCUUUGCCUAAGAAAGAGUGUGGAUCAUACUUUCUAAUACAGUCAGGAUGGAAUAUCAAAAUGUGAAAGGCUCAGUGCUGCCUGUCGGGAGCACUGCUUCGAGGAGACCGAUCCAGAGAACUUUCAGCCUAGGGAGUACGGCGCGCAAACCCAGCUGAGGUGAAAGUCUCAUUGGGGAGCAGCUCCCAGCACAAACUGCUGAAAGGCUGGCCGCAGCCCUGCUGCCCAGAUUUCUUCUUCAGCACUCUCUAACUCCCUAGAGCUUUUAAAAUGUCCCCUGUGGUCACUCUGUAUACCAGGGAAGACAAACGGGUUUGGCUUCAUGCCUGCAUUGGCAGUGCUGGGUGCCUCUUCAUCCUUCUCUCUCUCCUCUUUUUGGCAGAAAAACCCUUUUCAAAUAUCCAAGCCCCUUCUUCUCUAUAAAAAAUAAGACAGAUGUGAGCUAUGAACAUCGUUACUGGUGAAAAAAUUAAGAUUUAGGAAAGGAAAUAUCUGUCCUCAUCAUUUUGCCAGAAGAGCAGAGUAGUUACAGUCAUGGACUUUAACUCAAAAUCCACAGAAUUUGAGUCCUGGCUUCCCACUUACUGAUUCCGUGACCUUGGGCAAAUACUUAACCUCAGUAAGCCCCAGCUUCUUAUUUAGGAAAUGGGGAAUAACAUGUACCUCAAAAUUUAGGGGAAUAAUGCAUGUAAAGAAUAUGCCAUUGUGUCUGACAUAUAUUAAAAUCCAAAAUUACAGUAAUUUUUGUGAUUAUAAAAAUGAUGGUGAUAACAUGAAAGUAACUAAUUAAAUAAAAUUAUGUAUAUU
Molecule: long non-coding RNA, 1005 nt
Filed under: Homo sapiens (human)
Lineage: Eukaryota; Metazoa; Chordata; Mammalia; Primates; Hominidae
Description: HSALNT0191760
Source: RNAcentral